RNAcentral lists this ribosomal RNA (910 nucleotides) under uncultured Bacillota bacterium. Its description in RNAcentral is "bacterial SSU rRNA". It matches the Rfam family "Bacterial small subunit ribosomal RNA", at positions 11 to 917 of the family's 1533-position model. Lineage: Bacteria; Bacillati; Bacillota. The record is from RNAcentral.
CUUUGAUCAUGGCUCAGGACGAACGCUGGCGGCGUGCCUAACACAUGCAAGUCGAACGAAGCUUGACGGUAGAUUUCUUCGGAAUGAAGCCUGAUAUGACUUAGUGGCGGACGGGUGAGUAACACGUGAGCAACCUGCCUUUCAGAGAGGAAUAACGGCUGGAGACGGUCGCUAAUACCUCAUAAUGUAUAUUUAAGGCAUCUUAGAUAUACCAAAGAUUUAUCGCUGAAAGAUGGGCUCGCGUCUGAUUAGAUAGUUGGUGAGGUAAUGGCUCACCAAGUCGACGAUCAGUAGCCGGACUGAGAGGUUGAACGGCCACAUUGGGACUGAGACACGGCCCAGACUCCUACGGGAGGCAGCAGUGGGGAAUAUUGCACAAUGGGCGCAAGCCUGAUGCAGCAACGCCGCGUGAGGGAAGACGGUUUUCGGAUUGUAAACCUUUGUCUUUGGUGAAGAAGAAAGUGACGGUAACCAAGGAGGAAGCCACGGCUAACUACGUGCCAGCAGCCGCGGUAAUACGUAGGUGGCAAGCGUUGUCCGGAAUUACUGGGUGUAAAGGGAGCGCAGGCGGGGCUGCAAGUUGGAUGUGAGAUACCGAGGCUCAACCUCGGGGCUGCAUCCAAAACUGUAGUUCUUGAGUGAAGUAGAGGUAGGCGGAAUUCCGAGUGUAGCGGUGAAAUGCGUAGAUAUUCGGAGGAACACCAGUGGCGAAGGCGGCCUACUGGGCUUUAACUGACGCUGAGGCUCGAAAGUGUGGGGAGCAAACAGGAUUAGAUACCCUGGUAGUCCACACUGUAAACGAUGAUAGCUAGGUGUGGGGGGUCUGACCCCUUCCGUGCCGGAGUUAACGCAAUAAGCUAUCCACCUGGGGAGUACGGCCGCAAGGUUGCAACUCAAAGGAAUUGACGGA